UUGUCAUGACCAUUGAAUGUUUGGCCCGUUCAUCAGCGAUCAACUUGUAAACACGACGAACAAACUGCUGGCUGUAAAAUAUUGCUGCAUUUUUGAUCACUUGUCAUCCCUGCAUGAUGGACGAUCGGAGCAGAACACGACCGAUCUCAUCGUGGUCAGAUCUCUCCCCCCUACAGUUGCCCCCAAUUCCAGAGGACCCUUCCCGCCUGGCGGUGGAACUUCGCUCGGGAAGAGCUCCACUGGACGGUAGAAUUCCGCAGAACCUGUUGACAACACUUGUGCGACAAGCGAAACGAUCUCGCUUUUUGCCACCGCUAUUUAUUAUGUUCACUACUGCCUUCCAGCGGCAAUUCGAUGGCGGAAAAAAGUGCUGGCCGAGGUGUCGAUAUCGCACAAUGAUUUUAAUGAUGGGAUCGAAACGAACUGAACCGAACCAUAAGCAAAAACAAAAAAACCAGGGGAACGACAAAAAAACAUUGGGACGCGGCCAGUUGCAGCAAAUCGCUGGGAUGCCAAUGCUGAUAAUCAAUAAUUUUUAUAUUUUUGCCACAUCGCUGGGCGGCUUUGCUAGCCAGCUCAAAGGAGAACUCCAAUGGCAGGGAUACUUGCUGUGUCAGCCAGCCAAAGGACAUGACAAUAAUCCUUAAUUACAGCUCUCGCGGAGCCAGCGAAAUUGGAAUCAUAAUUGGAAAUUGGAGUUCACUGAUUGAAACACAAUUGUCGGCGGUUUGUGCUUACUUUACAUUUUAAUGCAGGACGAUGACAUUUUACAAACGAAAAUAAGCUUAAAUUCAUAUACCAUUAACGUUGAAUGGAAUAAU
This is a non-coding RNA of Drosophila melanogaster (fruit fly), 821 nucleotides long. Lineage: Eukaryota; Metazoa; Arthropoda; Insecta; Diptera; Drosophilidae. The record is from Ensembl.